This 274-nucleotide ribosomal RNA is filed under the name uncultured bacterium. Its description in RNAcentral is "partial 16S ribosomal RNA". It matches the Rfam family "Bacterial small subunit ribosomal RNA", at positions 523 to 796 of the family's 1533-position model. The record is from RNAcentral.
AUACGUGGAGGGCAAGCGUUAUUCGGAAUCACUGGGCGUAAAGGACGCGUAGGCGGGUUGGCAAGUCAGAUGGGAAAUCCUACAGCUUAACUGUAGAACUGCAUUUGAAACUGCUAACCUAGAGUAUGGGAGGGGGAGAUGGAAUUAGUGGUGUAGGGGUAAAAUCCGUAGAUAUCACUAGGAAUACCGAAAGCGAAGGCGAUCUCCUGGAACAUAACUGACGCUAAGGCGUGAAAGCGUGGGGAGCAAACAGGAUUAGAUACCCUAGUAGUCC